Molecule: unclassified non-coding RNA, 538 nt
Filed under: Hevea brasiliensis (rubber tree)
Lineage: Eukaryota; Viridiplantae; Streptophyta; Magnoliopsida; Malpighiales; Euphorbiaceae
Source: RNAcentral
AGUUGAAUUAAGUUGAGUUGAGUUGGUGAGACUUGGAUGACCCACACGGCUAUGGAGAAGAUCGGCGGAUGCAGCGGAAGUAAGAGCAACUGGUGAUCUUGUAGUAAAUAGAUGAUAUAGUCCUUGUGACUCGCAUCCUGUUCCAAUCAUCUUCCCCGUACCCAAGUCUUGCACAAUAACAGAGUCCGCCAUAAAAGUGAUAGAACAAUCAAGAUUUUUGGUUAAUUUGCUAAUGAAAAUCAAAUUAUAUGGACAUUUAGGUACAAAUGAAAUUGAGUUUAAAGAAUAGAAGGAAGAGAUUGAACUUCUCCUAUUUCGUUAAUUAUAGUUUUUAAGCCAUUAGCCAAUGUAAAUUUAAAGGAAAUUGAAGGGGAUUUAAGAUUAGAGAAAAGGUUUUUAUUACCAGAGAUAUGAUCUGAUGCACCAAAGUCUAGUAUCCAUGAUCCAAUAGGUGUAGACUUGGUUAGAUAAGCAAAAGAAUUACCAGAGUUAGUGUUGGAAUCCCUUAAUUAGCGCAUUAGCUGUAAAUUAGAAUGUA